UCCUGGAUGGGUUGUAUUACUGCACUGGUCACCUCAUGAUGCCCAUCUCCACCACUCUGGAUUGGGGGAAUCUGAACUGGACUCCGACUCCCUUUCCACUGGCUGAGGGCAAGGGAUGCCAUCAGCCGUCGCUUCAGAAUGGCAUUGCACAUCUCUCAGGACCGAUUGACCUAUGUUCAAACUGCUGUUCACAUGGAAUCCUUCUCCACUUCAGCUUUCAACGUUCUCCUUUGAAUAUUUGCUACUAUCACCAAGAUCUGUACUUGUGGUGGCUCCACCUGGGGCUCCACUGGAGCUCCCUAGGCUUCAAGGCUCACCACAGCAGCCUUCCUACUUGUUGUAGCAUAGCGUCCUUGGGGUGGGGGGUGGGGGGAGGAGGCGGCCACCAUUGGAAGGGGAA
This is a long non-coding RNA of Herpailurus yagouaroundi (jaguarundi), 400 nucleotides long. RefSeq lists it as uncharacterized. Lineage: Eukaryota; Metazoa; Chordata; Mammalia; Carnivora; Felidae. The record is from RefSeq and is a predicted model, not a curated record. The transcript has 3 exons.